UACGUAGGGGGCAAGCGUUGUCCGGAAUCAUUGGGCGUAAAGCGCGUGUAGGCGGCCCGGUAAGUCCGCUGUGAAAGUCGGGGGCUCAACCCUCGGAUGCCGGUGGAUACUGUCGGGCUCGAGUACGGAAGAGGCGAGUGGAAUUCCUGGUGUAGCGGUGAAAUGCGCAGAUAUCAGGAGGAACACCAAUUGCGAAGGCAGCUCGCUGGGACGUCACUGACGCUGAGACGCGAAAGCGUGGGGAGCAAACAGG
RNAcentral lists this ribosomal RNA (253 nucleotides) under uncultured bacterium. Its description in RNAcentral is "partial 16S ribosomal RNA". It matches the Rfam family "Bacterial small subunit ribosomal RNA", at positions 524 to 776 of the family's 1533-position model. The record is from RNAcentral.